GGCUCUGGGUGUGUGUGUGUGUGGGGGGGGUAAUAGCGCGGGGGGUGGGGUUAAGGGGACCCUCAUCCUCCCUUUCCGACAAGUGAGGGUCCUGAGCGCUUCCCAGAAGGAGUCCAGGGAAUGUUGUGGGCUGGGGCACACCCGCCGGGGCAGAAAUUGGAGGACACCACGGACGUCGCCACAAUCCUUUCUAUCCUUCCUUUCAGCUGCCCGGUGUUCUCCACCCCUGCGUUAGCACUCUGUAGUCUGGGGCCGUCCUAGGGCCGUCCCGGGGACGUCCCGGGGCUAGCAACCAAGGGGGCUCUCUCGGAUGCUCUGUGGAUCGCCGCUUCGCCCUUACUUUGGGGACGGUCACACGCGCCCCGCUUCCCCCGGUCGCUUUAGAUCAGGCGUCUGCGCCCUCCCGGGCUCCUCACCCCCACCCCCAGAGUCAAAUGUGGGCCUCUCCUGGAAAUCCUUUGCGAAGGGGACAAACUUUUGAGUGGACGAAAAUCUAUUGGAGCCUGUCCAGAGCAGCCAAGAUGAUGUUGCUGAACAAGUGUAGGCCAAAGCCUGAGGACCACAGUGCUCUGUCUUGACCCUGAUGCCAAAGGGGAUCAGCAGACUGGGAUACCCUGCUCUGGGCUCUGGGUGCUUCACCUCUGUGACCCUGCUUCU
This 657-nucleotide long non-coding RNA is filed under the name Mus caroli (Ryukyu mouse). RNAcentral describes it as "lncRNA (MGP_CAROLIEiJ_G0002946.1)". Lineage: Eukaryota; Metazoa; Chordata; Mammalia; Rodentia; Muridae. The record is from RNAcentral.